Panicum virgatum (switchgrass) is the source of this 411-nucleotide long non-coding RNA. RefSeq lists it as uncharacterized. The record is from RefSeq and is a predicted model, not a curated record. The transcript has 3 exons. Lineage: Eukaryota; Viridiplantae; Streptophyta; Magnoliopsida; Poales; Poaceae.
UCCUACCAGAGGAAACCUGCCGGGUCCUGUCCCAUCGUGUCCUCCCCUUUCAGUGACACGCGGGCCACAUCAUUCGUGGGUCCGAACGGUCAGUGGAAUAGCUGCCCAGGUCGCGCGCGAGCAGGCAUCGCCUUCGUCAGUUCGUCCCCCCUUCCGUUGACGCGGACAAGCGCAGAGCAGAGACCACCACACUCCAGCCUGCAGUCUGCGGAGAGCAAGGCGGCGGGUUUUUCCUAGUAGCUGCAGUCGAUUGCUUGACAUCGUUAUCAGCCCGCGAUUGCCCUGUCCCCCUCCUAUAGUUAUAUCUCCAGAAAUUGCAGCGCCAAGGUGGAAGCAGCACUUGACUACUUGAGAGAGAGAGAGAGAGAGAGAGAGAGAGAGAGAGAGAGAGAGGAGAGAGUGGGUGAGAGA